This 402-nucleotide ribosomal RNA is filed under the name uncultured bacterium. RNAcentral's name for it is "bacterial SSU rRNA". It matches the Rfam family "Bacterial small subunit ribosomal RNA", at positions 355 to 774 of the family's 1533-position model. The record is from RNAcentral.
UGGGGAAUCUUGCACAAUGGGGGCAACCCUGAUGCAGCGACGCCGCGUGAGCGAUGAAGCCCUUCGGGGCGUAAAGCUCUUUCGACCGGAACGAUAAUGACGGUACCGGGAGAAGAAGCUGCGGCUAACUACGUGCCAGCAGCCGCGGUAAUACGUAGGCAGCAAGCGCUGUUCGGAGUUACUGGGCGUAAAGAGUGCGUAGGCGGUUUUCUAAGUUCGGUGUGAAAUCUCCCGGCUUAGCUGGGAGGGUGCGCCGAAGACUGGGAAGCUGGAGUGUGGGAAAGGCAGGCGGAAUUCCUGGUGUAGCGGUGAAAUGCGUAGAUAUCAGGAGGAACACCGGCGGUGUAGACGGCUUGCUAGACCAUAACUGACGCUGAGGCACGAAAGCGUGGGUAGCAAACA